UUUCAAUCCUUGAGACCAGGAAUUCUCAACUGUUUCCUUUCCAAGUUUAACCACAGCAGUUCCUGAAAAAAAUAAAUUAAAAAAUCUGUUUUGAAUAAAUAGUGUUCCGCUUCACAACAAGCUUGAAAAUCUCCGAUAUAGGCGAACAGCCAGCCUCCUCAGAGGUGAGACCUCUGUGGUUCCAAGGGGCUAGGGCCUUACUGGGGCACUCAUGGACAUCUCUCUCGGGUGGGUGAGGGACGGGAGUCAAGCAGCCUCUUGCUUAGCCCAGAGCUCUUGCUUCCAUGCCACACGCUCUCUUAUUCCAGCCCCUGACACUUAAUUCAAAUGGAGCUGGUUCCCCUCUUGUUUGAUUUUUUUCUACCUGUUCGGGAGCACUGUCCUUUCGAAACUAGGCUCACAGGAUCCUGCAUGGAGCUGUGGCUUUAGAGGAAGAUAGCGCCGGGAGCGCAGAGGAGAGAGACUGCCGAGGUGUAACGUCUGGACAGCUGCCUCAGGCCUCUGCCUCCUUGCAGUGACGGCCUAAAGUUCCGCUAAGCUCCCUGGAUCACUUAUUAUUUCUUCUGGGCCUCCUGCUUAUUCUUUGGUGAAGCCUCUGCUUCUGUACUGUUGGAGGACUGGGGGAGGGCGUCACGGAGCUGAAGGUUUGCAUAGCUUUGGGGUCCUGACGGGUCCUGCUCUCUGUCCCUCAGGUUCCCAGCUCCUCCCUACAGAACAGGCUCCCCACCUCCGGGAAGGAGAGCCACAGGUUCUGAGCAACGCACUGGUGUCCAGGUGCCUCCCGAGCUCACAGCACCUGCAGGCGGGCGGGGCGUUCUGGGAGUGUAACAAGCAGGGACACCCGAAGCCUGACCCUGCCCUGUUUCUCAACAACAGGACCCUCGCGCUAUUCCAACGAGGGCUGCCCCAGAGCAUCCCCCGCCUCCCCGUUGCGAAGCUGAAGACGGAAAAAUCACAGGCCAGGGUGCAGUUGUGGGGCUGGUGAGGCCAUGUGAGCAAGUGGACGAAGACCACCC
Molecule: long non-coding RNA, 1016 nt
Filed under: Bos indicus x Bos taurus (hybrid cattle)
Lineage: Eukaryota; Metazoa; Chordata; Mammalia; Artiodactyla; Bovidae
Description: lncRNA (ENSBIXG00005019670.1)
Source: RNAcentral